GACGAACGCUGGCGGCGUGCCUAAUACAUGCAAGUCGAGCGGACUUUGAAAAGCUUGCUUUUCAAAGUUAGCGGCGGACGGGUGAGUAACACGUGGGCAACCUGCCUGUAAGACUGGGAUAACACCGGGAAACCGGUGCUAAUACCGGAUAAUCUUUUUCCCUCACAUGAGAAAAAACUGAAAGACGGCGUAAGCUGUCACUUACAGAUGGGCCCGCGGCGCAUUAGCUAGUUGGUGAGGUAAUGGCUCACCAAGGCGACGAUGCGUAGCCGACCUGAGAGGGUGAUCGGCCACACUGGGACUGAGACACGGCCCAGACUCCUACGGGAGGCAGCAGUAGGGAAUCUUCCGCAAUGGACGAAAGUCUGACGGAGCAACGCCGCGUGAGCGAUGAAGGCCUUCGGGUCGUAAAGCUCUGUUGUUAGGGAAGAACAAGUAUCGGAGUAACUGCCGGUACCUUGACGGUACCUAACCAGAAAGCCACGGCUAACUACGUGCCAGCAGCCGCCGUAACAC
This 516-nucleotide ribosomal RNA is filed under the name uncultured bacterium. RNAcentral's name for it is "bacterial SSU rRNA". It matches the Rfam family "Bacterial small subunit ribosomal RNA", at positions 28 to 526 of the family's 1533-position model. The record is from RNAcentral.